Salvia hispanica is the source of this 786-nucleotide long non-coding RNA. RefSeq lists it as uncharacterized. Lineage: Eukaryota; Viridiplantae; Streptophyta; Magnoliopsida; Lamiales; Lamiaceae. The record is from RefSeq and is a predicted model, not a curated record.
UUCUAAAUUAAAUAUUUGGCCUGACAUCUUAUUUGUUCUUCCUCUAGCCAAUUAUACUUAUUCAAUUGGACUACUUUUAUUUUAGCUAUUUAUUCCCGAUUCCUAAUUUAAAAUCUGCAGUCAAAUCCUUGGUCAACACUGAUUCCUUCUCCUAAUUUCUUUCUACACGCUUUUAUUUCCUUCCUCAAUCUCCACUCCCUAAAAUCUCUCUAACAAACAAAUCAAUCUCUACAUUAUAUAUCUUCCCCACAACUGCAUCUGUUAGCAUCUGCCGUUCCAUUCCACAAUUCCAGUGCAGUUUUCUUCUCUUCCACAAAGGUAAUUCUCCUCAUUCCAUUGAAUACGAAAAUGUGCAUACUUAUUGACUCCAUAAUUUAACAUCACAGUGUGAAGGAGAAACCGAGAGAGCUCUGAUUACUUUCUGUUGUGCAAAUUUUGCUUCUUUCCAAAAGGUGAACUUGUGCAUGUUGGUUGCGGUUGGAAAAGGAAGUGAUUGAGGAGUAAGCUUGUGAGAUUGAGCGACGACGGGCGUGGAGGAUGUUGAGCAUAAUUCAUGGAUUAUUUAUGUUUGGCUUAAUAUUGUUGGAUAUGUCGUGUCUUCAUACUCGGCAUUUUCCGUGUCUUGAACGCUUCCGCUAGGUGUCUUUUCUUUAAAAUUGUUUUAGUAUGGAGAACCUAACUCUUUUCAAAAUUGUCUACUUUCUAGUCUUUUUUUUUUAGAAUUGGUACUUCGUUGAAAUGAUACUAUGUUGUUUUCCAAGUUAUUUCAAUUAUUUAAAUAUUUUG